AAAUUGAAGAGUUUGAUCAUGGCUCAGAUUGAACGCUGGCGGCAGGCCUAACACAUGCAAGUCGAACGGUAACAGGAAGCAGCUUGCUGCUUCGCUGACGAGUGGCGGACGGGUGAGUAAUGUCUGGGAAACUGCCUGAUGGAGGGGGAUAACUACUGGAAACGGUGGCUAAUACCGCAUAACGUCGCAAGACCAAAGAGGGGGACCUUCGGGCCUCUUGCCAUCAGAUGUGCCCAGAUGGGAUUAGCUAGUUGGUGAGGUAACGGCUCACCAAGGCGACGAUCCCUAGCUGGUCUGAGAGGAUGACCAGCCACACUGGAACUGAGACACGGUCCAGACUCCUACGGGAGGCAGCAGUGGGGAAUAUUGCACAAUGGGCGCAAGCCUGAUGCAGCCAUGCCGCGUGUAUGAAGAAGGCCUUCGGGUUGUAAAGUACUUUCAGCGGGGAGGAAGGUGUUGUGGUUAAUAACCGCAGCAAUUGACGUUACCCGCAGAAGAAGCACCGGCUAACUCCGUGCCAGCAGCCGCGGUAAUACGGAGGGUGCAAGCGUUAAUCGGAAUUACUGGGCGUAAAGCGCACGCAGGCG
Molecule: ribosomal RNA, 587 nt
Filed under: Salmonella enterica
Lineage: Bacteria; Pseudomonadati; Pseudomonadota; Gammaproteobacteria; Enterobacterales; Enterobacteriaceae
Also listed under: 3 other names
Description: partial 16S ribosomal RNA
Rfam family: Bacterial small subunit ribosomal RNA
Source: RNAcentral